RNAcentral lists this long non-coding RNA (1019 nucleotides) under Strigops habroptila (Kakapo). RNAcentral describes it as "lncRNA (ENSSHBG00005011296.1)". The record is from RNAcentral. Lineage: Eukaryota; Metazoa; Chordata; Aves; Psittaciformes; Psittacidae.
UGGAAAAUUAAGUAAAUUUAAUGAUUAAAUAGUCAAUCACAAGUUUAAGUAUAGUACAAGUUUUACUGUAUGAGCACUGUUAACAGUCUUGUUUAUAUCUUUGUGUUCCUCAUUACUAGCCAAGAUUUUUCAAGUCUUGGGCAAAAUUGUUUGAAGUGGUUCUCCAGCUGAGUUACCCAAACACUUUCCACCCCCUUCAUUUCUGUCCCCAAGCUGCUGAAAAGGAGGGAAACACAGCAGAUGCCAUUUACCAGAACAGUUACUAGCAGAGCUGGCUAACAGCAUUAGCUAAGCAGUCAUGUACCAAUGGUCCUGGAAGUGGUGCUGUAAACCCCAAGCUACUGUAAGCUUGUAAGAUGUUGUUUUGUAAUACUAAUUUGAAGUCGAACCUGUGUUUAGUAGGUAUAAUGUAGACAUCUUAAACAGGUCUGACUAAGGGUGUAGCAAGGCUACGUGAUUACCUUGUUGAAGCUGAAGCUGAGCACAUUUCCUGAAGUGCUGACACUCUCAGCCUCCAGUUCCAGCAGCCCGGACAAUUUUUUUCUCUACAGGAUCUCUUGUAUAGGAUCUUUUGCCACAUGAACUGGCAACACACUGAUAUCCUGCAAUCUAAAAGGGAAGCUAUGGCAGAAUUAGCAAGCUAAAUACAUGGCUAUCACUUCCCCCUUCUCGUCAGGUGAACUUAGCAAACCCUGAAGAAUGUUAAUAUAAAUGCUAAUGCUUAAAAAGGCAAAGUGUGUUACCAGAUAUAUUGGAACUCACACAUUACUUCAGAUUCUUCUUGAGAACUGAUUUAAGAAUAUGCCUAGUGACAAUUAUUGCAUUUUUCUCUUUGGCUUUCAAAUCUAUAUCAUCUAGUUUAUCCUCAGCAGACUGCCUCAGCAGCAGACAUGCUGUUUUGGGGAAAUACGUGAUUCCUUUUCAGCAGGUACAAUUAAAGAUCUAGGUUUCUAAACCUGCAACUCAACUGGUAACUUCUGACCUUGAGGGCUACCAUGGUUCUGACUAUAACCCUGUGG